GAUGAACGCUGGCGGCGUGCCUAAUACAUGCAAGUCGAACGCUUUUUCUUUCACCGGAGCUUGCUCCACCGAAAGAAAAAGAGUGGCGAACGGGUGAGUAACACGUGGGUAACCUGCCCAUCAGAAGGGGAUAACACUUGGAAACAGGUGCUAAUACCGUAUAACACUAUUUUCCGCAUGGAAGAAAGUUGAAAGGCGCUUUUGCGUCACUGAUGGAUGGACCCGCGGUGCAUUAGCUAGUUGGUGAGGUAACGGCUCACCAAGGCAACGAUGCAAAGCCGACCUGAGGGGGUGAUCGGCCACACUGGGAAUGAGACAGGGCCCAGACUCCUACGGGAGGCAGCAGUAGGGAAUCUUCGGCAAUGGACGAAAGUCUGACCGAGCAACGCCGCGUGAGUGAAGAAGGUUUUCGGAUCGUAAAACUCUGUUGUUAGAGAAGAACAAGGAUGAGAGUAGAACGUUCAUCCCUUGACGGUAUCUAACCAGAAAGCCACGGCUAACUACGUGCCAGCAGCCGCCGCUG
RNAcentral lists this ribosomal RNA (523 nucleotides) under uncultured bacterium. RNAcentral's name for it is "partial 16S ribosomal RNA". It matches the Rfam family "Bacterial small subunit ribosomal RNA", at positions 28 to 523 of the family's 1533-position model. The record is from RNAcentral.